GACGAACGCUGGCGGCGCGCCUAACACAUGCAAGUCGAACGGGCGAGCGAGAGCUUGCUUUCUCGAGCGAGUGGCGAACGGGUGAGUAACGCGUGAGGAACCUGCCUCAAAGAGGGGGACAACAGUUGGAAACGACUGCUAAUACCGCAUAAGCCCACGGUGCCGCAUGGCACAGAGGGAAAAGGAGCAAUCCGCUUUGAGAUGGCCUCGCGUCCGAUUAGCUAGUUGGUGAGGUAAUGGCCCACCAAGGCGACGAUCGGUAGCCGGACCGAGAGGUUGAACGGCCACAUUGGGACUGAGACACGGCCCAGACUCCUACGGGAGGCAGCAGUGGGGAAUAUUGCACAAUGGGGGAAACCCUGAUGCAGCGACGCCGCGUGGAGGAAGAAGGUCUGCGGAUUGUAAACUCCUGUUGUUGGGGAAGAUAAUGACGGUACCCAACAAGGAAGUGACGGCUAACUACGUG
RNAcentral lists this ribosomal RNA (466 nucleotides) under uncultured bacterium. Its description in RNAcentral is "partial 16S ribosomal RNA". It matches the Rfam family "Bacterial small subunit ribosomal RNA", at positions 28 to 507 of the family's 1533-position model. The record is from RNAcentral.